GAUCAUGGUUCAGGACGAACGCUGGCGGCGCGCCUAACACAUGCAAGUCGAACGAGCGAGAGAGAGCUUGCUUUCUCGAGCGAGUGGCGAACGGGUGAGUAACGCGUGAGGAACCUGCCUCAAAGAGGGGGACAACAGUUGGAAACGACUGCUAAUACCGCAUAAGCCCACGACCCGGCAUCGGGAAGAGGGAAAAGGAGCAAUCCGCUUUGAGAUGGCCUCGCGUCCGAUUAGCUAGUUGG
Molecule: ribosomal RNA, 242 nt
Filed under: uncultured bacterium
Lineage: Bacteria
Description: partial 16S ribosomal RNA
Rfam family: Bacterial small subunit ribosomal RNA
Source: RNAcentral